This 67-nucleotide transfer RNA is filed under the name Methanobacteriaceae archaeon. Its description in RNAcentral is "tRNA-Glu". Lineage: Archaea; Methanobacteriati; Methanobacteriota; Methanobacteria; Methanobacteriales; Methanobacteriaceae. The record is from RNAcentral.
GGGCUUGUGGCUUAGCUGGUAGAAGCGUUGCCUUUUCAAGGCAAGGUUUAAAUCUCCGGCGAGUCCA